UCAGGCUGCUCCCGGCCAGCAGCUCGGUGCACCUCAGGGAGAGCAAGGUGAGGGUGCACGCCUACUUCCACUAUGACCCCAAGGAGGACAACAAGCACAUUCCCUGCAAGAAAGCCAGGCUGCCCUUCAACAAGCUGGACAUCCUGCACAUUGUGACCCAGGAUGACCCCUACUGACAGUGUUUGACCGUGUGGACGGACCCUGACGGUUGCUGUGAUGUGCAGGUGACGGCUUGGUGACGCAGGGCAUGGAGGACACAGCGCUGCAGUGGCUCAGCGAACGCCUCGGCCACCCAGACAACUUCACUUCUGUGAUAUUCCUGCCCAGACCAAGGCCUGGAGCACCGCUUCACGAGGAAGUAAAUCUUCAUUCCCGACGAGACGAGCGGCGAGGCGGCACCGCGGCUCCUCCGACACCCGCGUCAUGCCCUUCAGCUUCCAGCAGCAGACGAGCGGCUGAACAGACACUCCCUGGGAUGUCUGAACGACAGCCAGGCUGGACUGAAUGAUCCAGCAGUUGCUGCAGGUGUGGCCAGGUGUUGCAACCCUCCAAUAAGCACCUGUACCAAUCUGGAUAGAGAUGUGUAGUUCACAGUGUAAGGACAAUCCAGUUGUCAGUCAAACAUCUGGCACUGUUGCCCAAAAGAGCUGACAAACUCCGAGCCAAGUUUUUUUUUUCUUUACACUCUGACCUAUAGCGUUGGUAGGCUUUCUUCUGGGCCCUGGUGGUCGACCCAAGCCCGUCAUGGCGCAGGCAAGUGUUUAUAGCAGCACCAUUUCUUCUUGGCUCAUGCUGCCCGCCGGAGCUCAUUCUUGAUUCACUUGGACAGUUCCUCUAGAGUUGGGGUUGAUAGGUGAUCUUCAGGACAGCACGUGGGUAGCCUUAUGCCACUUGGCAAUGACUGAAAAAUCCCAGGUGGUAGCAGAGAAUUUGAACCCACAUUGUCCAGAACUUGGUGAACGCAGGACCUGCACACUAACCAUUCAGCCACUGCCUCUCUGUUCCAACAUGAGUGAAAAAUGAGAGGCCAGAAGAGAGUGGUUGAUUUCAAAUGGAGAAGUGUCUUGAUAGGCUGGAGGAAAUAGAUGAAGGAAGGCUGCUCUGGAGUUAACCUGCAUAAGGAAUUAGGAUAGUAUAGAGACGAGUAGAACGUUAUGUAAAAAGGGACCACAGUAGAGGUGGAGGCAUGUAGUUAGCAAGCAUAGAAGGGCAAUCAUCAUGAAAAUGUCUGUAGAAGACAGAGGGGCAACAUUGCAGCAGAGUUUGCUAUAGAAGAAGAGAGUUUAGGUUUGACUCCAUCGAGUUAAAAACAGCUAUGUGAGUGAAGCCCCUCCUAUAUGAAAUGCGCUCUCCAUACGAGGACAGACAAGGCCCCUGGAUAUCAUUUGUGAGGGGUAAAAAACUGAAAGACUAAUACAGAACACACAACUUCAAAGAAGCUGAUUUAGGAAGAGGUGAGAUGAAAUUAUGAGUUGAGGAUAGACCAAAUAUGUUUAUUGUUUAAAUGGACAGCUGAGUGUUGUCAUAGAAUAGGGAACAGAUGUUCGGAAUUCUAUCCCUCUGUUUUUAUAUCGUGUUUCCUUUCAAGCUGGUCUAUCUAUGGUGUGGUAAUCCUGCCACUGUCUUCCCCUAAACCUCUCAGCACCUGUAUUCUGUACGACUAUUUUAUUUCCCUCUCUGAGGAAAAAGUCAAUUUCUCUGCCUAUCAACUGAACAAAUUCCAUCGUCUAUUCCCUAGUCUUCGACCACACUCAGCGGUCCCCUUCCUCUACACUAAAUAUUCUCUGUCUAUCCUUAACUCAAAACAUUAACUGAAAACUUAUUUCCUCUCUUGCUAAAUCAGAUUCUUCGAGGUUAUGCAUUUGUAUCGUUUUCACCAGUUCUAUUCCCCCUCACACAUGCUGUCCACAUACAAGGGUCUUUUCUGUCCUCAUAUGGAGUAUGACAGAAGUCUUAGACAAAUGGUGGAAAAUUCUGUCGGAUCAAGGUCAUGGGCACGAGAGGAAGUGACAUCUUGGCAUACAUAGAUGCAGCAUCCAGCUUGGAUUGAAAGCUGGGAUGAAGAUAGCAAGAGACACAUCACGGCAGCCACUAAUGGACUGGAGUUGUCCAAGAAACCCCCCAAGAAAGCCUACCAUCACUAUUGACGAUUACUGUCAGUAGCCCCAGAGACCCGUGUUUCAGUUAAGAAGAAGAGGUAAAGGAAGAGGAGGUAAAAGAGGAGAAAUGAUGUUCUACAUACAGGAUGGAAGCUGAAGCAAAGAUCGUGAAUGUUGCAAAAUUUGGAAAAAAGGAGAGUUAUCAGGACAGCUGUGUACUAUAGGUUUGUUAUGUCACUGCACAAUGCAUUCAAUAAGCUGUAACUUAAAAUAAUUCGUAUCUUUUGAAACUAGAUGCUUAUAAUAUUUCUACAGAGGCUGCCUGAGUUAUUACUUAGUACAAUUUUGAAGACCUAUAAACAUUUCCAGCUGUUCUUUACUGCAUAUUAAUCAUGAUUUGUAUUGUUAGAUAACUAUAUCAAAAUUCAAAUCUAGAGACAGCUGCCAUUAAAUUGAGGUUUUGCAUAUUUUUGAGUUUCACUGUAGAAAGUACCAUGAAUCAAUAUAUUUUGUAGACUUUGUUCA
This is a long non-coding RNA of Eriocheir sinensis (Chinese mitten crab), 2624 nucleotides long. RefSeq lists it as uncharacterized. The transcript has 5 exons. The record is from RefSeq and is a predicted model, not a curated record. NCBI's taxonomy places the organism in Eukaryota, Metazoa, Arthropoda, Malacostraca, Decapoda, Varunidae.